Molecule: ribosomal RNA, 460 nt
Filed under: uncultured bacterium
Lineage: Bacteria
Description: partial 16S ribosomal RNA
Rfam family: Bacterial small subunit ribosomal RNA
Source: RNAcentral
CCUACGGGAGGCAGCAGUGAGGAAUAUUGGUCAAUGGGCGCGAGCCUGAACCAGCCAAGUAGCGUGAAGGAUGAAUGCCCUACGGGUUGUAAACUUCUUUUAUAAAGGAAUAAAGUGAGGCCCGUGUGCCUUUUUGUAUUUACUUUAUGACUAAGGAUCGGCUAACUCCGUGCUAGCAGCCCCGUUACUACGGAGGAUCCGAGCGUUAUCCGGAUUUAUUGGGUUUAAAGUGAGCGUAGAUGGGUUGUUAAGUCAGUUGUGAAAGUUUGCGGCUCAACCGUAAGAUUGCAAUUGAUACUGGCAGGCUUGAGUACAGUUGAGGUAGGCGGAAUUCGUGGUGUAGCGGUGAAAUGCUUAGAUAUCACGAAGAACACCGAUUGCGAAGGCAGCUUACUAAACUGCUACUGACAUUGAUGCUCGAAAGUGUGGGUAUCAAACAGGAUUAGAUACCCUUGUAGUC